RNAcentral lists this microRNA precursor (73 nucleotides) under Capra hircus (goat). RNAcentral's name for it is "mir-1905 microRNA precursor family". It matches the Rfam family "mir-1905 microRNA precursor family". RNAcentral also lists the same sequence under 1 other name. The record is from Rfam by way of RNAcentral. Lineage: Eukaryota; Metazoa; Chordata; Mammalia; Artiodactyla; Bovidae.
UGGUCUGCUGCUGGAUGCGUUUGAUGGUUGCCCCCUUGGGGCCCACUACCAGUCCCACCACGCGAUAGGGCAC